CUUCUGGCAUAAGGGUUCUCCUUAUUAGGUUGAGGCUUAGUCCAAGUAUCAACUCUUCCGGUCAAUUCCUAGUAAUAACUCUUCAGAUCAGUUCCAAGCACUAGCUUUUACAAGAACCAACUCUUCCUCUGAAAGUUCCAAGUAAUAGCUCUGUUGGUCAGUCUCGAUGACUGACUUAUAAAUGCUCCAAGUCCAAGAUCUUAUUAUAAGAACCAACUCUUUCCUGUGCCGAUUUCUCUUAAAGUUCUAAGCACAACUCUUGGGUCUAGAACGCUUCUAGGAAUUUCCUGUUCAUCAUGGAAGGAAAACGGCUGUUUCUGGCCUUAAUUGUAGUUGCUUUUAUUUCCACAACUGCUGCUAUGUCACCGUUCAGGAAUCAUAGGAGGAACCACACCUGCCCGGAUUCGCCGGAGGACCGACGCCUAACGAAAGGCCUAACGAAGGGCCGCAGCUUCGAAACCUCCGAGACGGAGGAGAGCAGUUCGGACGAGGAACAUUCGCGGGAAAGGAUUCCAGGCAUCUGGUACCAGGUGUGCCCGGGCAUGUGUCGUGAUGAAUGCCAUCCUGACGAGGUGAUGCGGGGAAGAUGCAACCCCGACUUCGUCUGCCUCUGCUGCGUUAAGAACUUACUGG
Macrobrachium nipponense is the source of this 633-nucleotide long non-coding RNA. RefSeq lists it as uncharacterized. The transcript is spliced from 4 exons. The record is from RefSeq and is a predicted model, not a curated record. NCBI's taxonomy places the organism in Eukaryota, Metazoa, Arthropoda, Malacostraca, Decapoda, Palaemonidae.